GGCCCUCGGAGCAGUGCCGCGCCGUGAAAUGGAGGUCGGGCGGCCUGGGACAUCCCUGCGAGGGCGGCGCUCCCCUGUGUACACAAAGCUAAGCAGGAGCAGGCUGCAGACAUGGCCGGCUCCAGGCCCCUAACAUUGCUCUAAAGUCUUAUAAAAACCCAACCAAACGAAGAAACCCCAACCAGUGUGUGUUAUGGCUACUUCCACGUGUGGUGAGGAAAAGUCAGAAACAGAUGGUGUGAGGCGGCUACAGAGGGGGACUUGGAUGGGACAGACUUUGACUGACACCCAGGCUGAUCAAUGAGCAUAUUCCAUGCCAUUAGUGUCAUGCUUCAUAUUUAAUGGGAGUUGGGUUUUCCAGCUCAGGAGGCCCAUUUGGUCUGUCUUGAUUUCAGUAAAGCAUCUGACGAAGUCUCCCACAGCAUCCUUACAGCUAAGCUGAGGAAAUGUGGUCUGGAUGAUCGGGUAGUGAUGUGGACUGUGAACUGGCUGAAGGAAAGAAGCCAGAAAGUUGUGGUCAAUAGGGCAGAGUCUAUUUGGAGGCCUGUAUCUAGUGGAGUGCCUCAAGGGUCGGUACCGAUACCAGUACUAUUCAAUAUAUUCAUCAAUGACUUGGAUGGGGGAAUAGAGUGUACUAUCAGCAAAUUUGCUGAUGACACCAAUCUGGGAGGGGUGGCUGACACGCCAGAAGGCUGUGCUGCCAUCCAGCGAGACCUGGACAGGCUGGAGAGUUGGGCAGGGAGAAACGUAAUGAAAUACAGCAAGGGCAAGUGUAGAGUCUUGCACCUGGGUGGGAACAACCCCAGGUUCCAGUAUAGGUUGGGGAAUGACCUGUUAGAGAGCAGUGUAGGGGAAAGGGACCUGGGAGUCCUGGUGCACAGCAGGAUGACCAUGAGCCAGCACUGUGCCCUGGUGGCCAGGAAGGCCAGUGGCAUCCUGGGGUGUAUUAGAAGGGGGGUGGUUAGUACGUCGAGAGAGGUUCUUCUCCCGCUCUACUCUGCCCUGGUGAGACCGCAUCUGGAAUAUUUUGUCCAGUUCUGGGGGUCUCAGUUCAGGAAGGACACAGAACUGCUGGAGAGGGUCCAACACAGAGCCACAAAGAGGAGCAGAGCAUCUCUCGUAUGAGGAAAGGCUGAGGGAGCUGGGUCUCUUUAGUUUGGAGGAGACUGAGGGGUGACCUCAUUAAAGUUUAUAAGUAUGUAAAAGGUGAGUGUCACAAGGAUGGAGCCAGGCUCUUCUCAGUGACAACCAAUGAUGGGACAAGGGGUAAUGGGUACAAACCGGAACACCGGAGGUUCAAUUUAAAUAUGAGAAGAAACUUUUUCACAGUGAGGAUGACAGAACACUGGAACAGGCUGCCCAAGGGGGUUAUGGAGUCUCCUUCUCUGGAGACAUUCAAAACCUGCCUGGACACAUUCCUGUGUAGCCUCAUCUAGGUGUUCUUGGUCCAGCAGGGGGAUUGGACUAGAUGAUCUUUCGAGGUCCCUUCCAAUCCCUAACAUUCCAUGACUCUGUGAUUCAGCUCUGUUCUCAUUGAGUUCUGUUUGCGAGAUCCUUUUGUUCAGCUUUUUGCUGUUCUGCUGUUUUGUAAUGGCCUCUGGGCCUUUCUGCCUUUUUGGCCUUUUCACUCUCUCCCCAGGAUCAGCUGUUGGGGACCAGGGUGGUGUUUUCCUGGGACUGGCUGCUCAGAAUGUACAGAAGUCAUGACAAA
This is a long non-coding RNA of Columba livia (rock pigeon), 1711 nucleotides long. RefSeq lists it as uncharacterized. The transcript is spliced from 2 exons. The record is from RefSeq and is a predicted model, not a curated record. NCBI's taxonomy places the organism in Eukaryota, Metazoa, Chordata, Aves, Columbiformes, Columbidae.